UCUCAGGUAGUAUAGAGGUUAGUAUUCGCGCCUGUCAAAAUCGCGAACGCGCGAGACCGGGGUUCGAUUCCCCGCCUGAGAG
This 82-nucleotide transfer RNA is filed under the name Clathrus columnatus. RNAcentral describes it as "tRNA-Asp". It matches the Rfam family "tRNA". From Rfam's summary of the family: Transfer RNA (tRNA) molecules are approximately 80 nucleotides in length. Their secondary structure includes four short double-helical elements and three loops (D, anti-codon, and T loops). The record is from RNAcentral. Lineage: Eukaryota; Fungi; Basidiomycota; Agaricomycetes; Phallales; Clathraceae.